AGUGAACGCUGGCGGUAGGCCUAACACAUGCAAGUCGAACGGCAGCACAGGGGAGCUUGCUCUCUGGGUGGCGAGUGGCGGACGGGUGAGGAAUACAUCGGAAUCUACUCUGUCGUGGGGGAUAACGUAGGGAAACUUACGCUAAUACCGCAUACGACCUACGGGUGAAAGCAGGGGAUCUUCGGACCUUGCGCGAUUGAAUGAGCCGAUGUCGGAUUAGCUAGUUGGCGAGGUAAAGGCCCACCAAGGCGACGAUCCGUAGCUGGUCUGAGAGGAUGAUCAGCCACACUGGAACUGAGACACGGUCCAGACUCCUACGGGAGGCAGCAGUGGGGAAUAUUGGACAAUGGGCGCAAGCCUGAACCAGCCAUACCGCGUGGGUGAAGAAGGCCUUCGGGUUGUAAAGCCCUUUUGUUGGGAAAGAAAUCCAGCUGGCUAAUACCCGGUUGGGAUGACGGUACCCAAAGAAUAAGCACCGGCUAACUUCGUGCCAGCAGCCGCAGUAA
RNAcentral lists this ribosomal RNA (506 nucleotides) under uncultured bacterium. RNAcentral's name for it is "partial 16S ribosomal RNA". It matches the Rfam family "Bacterial small subunit ribosomal RNA", at positions 29 to 523 of the family's 1533-position model. The record is from RNAcentral.